UAAUACCGGAUAAUAUUUUGAACCGCAUGGUUCAAAAGUGAAAGACGGUCUUGCUGUCACUUAUAGAUGGAUCCGCGCUGCAUUAGCUAGUUGGUAAGGUAACGGCUUACCAAGGCAACGAUGCAUAGCCGACCUGAGAGGGUGAUCGGCCACACUGGAACUGAGACACGGUCCAGACUCCUACGGGAGGCAGCAGUAGGGAAUCUUCCGCAAUGGGCGAAAGCCUGACGGAGCAACGCCGCGUGAGUGAUGAAGGUCUUCGGAUCGUAAAACUCUGUUAUUAGGGAAGAACAUAUGUGUAAGUAACUGUGCACAUCUUGACGGUACCUAAUCAGAAAGCCACGGCUAACUACGUGCCAGCAGCCGCGGUAAUACGUAGGUGGCAAGCGUUAUCCGGAAUUAUUGGGCGUAAAGCGCGCGUAGGCGGUUUUUUAAGUCUGAUGUGAAAGCCCACGGCUCAACCGUGGAGGGUCAUUGGAAACUGGAAAACUUGAGUGCAGAAGAGGAAAGUGGAAUUCCAUGUGUAGCGGUGAAAUGCGCAGAGAUAUGGAGGAACACCAGUGGCGAAGGCGACUUUCUGGUCUGUAACUGACGCUGAUGUGCGAAAGCGUGGGGAUCAAACAGGAUUAGAUAC
This 634-nucleotide ribosomal RNA is filed under the name Staphylococcus aureus. RNAcentral's name for it is "bacterial SSU rRNA". It matches the Rfam family "Bacterial small subunit ribosomal RNA", at positions 164 to 785 of the family's 1533-position model. The record is from RNAcentral. Lineage: Bacteria; Bacillati; Bacillota; Bacilli; Caryophanales; Staphylococcaceae.